This 14753-nucleotide long non-coding RNA is filed under the name Malus domestica (apple). RNAcentral's name for it is "long non-coding RNA (MDOM_LNC006573)". Lineage: Eukaryota; Viridiplantae; Streptophyta; Magnoliopsida; Rosales; Rosaceae. The record is from RNAcentral.
UCAUCUGUCUGAUUAUGAGUUGCCAGCUUCUUAUUUUUGCUAUCUCCCUUCAUCUAUAAUACUUUAGUAAAAGGAUAAGAAACACCGUCUGAGACUUAUGUACCUCUGUUUUGGCGGUACAAUUUCUUCACUGUGAAGAUAAUACUGUGUGAUUGUUUUGCUUCUGGUAAAUCCUUCAUCUAUUUUCCGUCUGUUCAAUUUCAAUUCCCUUUUUGAAUUUUAUAUGCCAUUGAUUUCACUAAUUGAAGUAUAUAAUUCCUUUCCCACCCUCCAUGUAUAUAUAGUGGCACGGUUUGAUUUUUCAUGGGGCGAUGCUCAGUUUCACCAAGAGACAUUGGGAAACCUGAAGGUUGCAAUGAAGAGUACCAAUAAACUGUGUGCAGUAAGCUUGCUAUUCUUAUGAGCUCUGCAUUUUGUCUUAAAUUAUUUAAAUGUAUAUAAUGAUCCUAAAAUUCAACUUUUAACUAACUGUGCUUUUGUAUCUGCAUUAUUUAAUUUGUUAUGUUCCUUUCACUAAAUCUCCUUAACUUGUAAAGGUUUGAUAUGUACGCUUACAAGUUGGUUUAUUAAUCUUCUUUUUUUUUUCAGGUAAUGCUAGACACAGUGGGUCCAGAGUUGCAGGUAGUAAAUAAAAGUGAGCAUCCCAUAUCUCUUCAGGAAGAUACCCUGGUUGUCCUAACACCUGAUCAAGACCAAGAGGCCACCUCAAAUCUACUACCCGUAAAUUUUAGUGGCCUGGCAAGGGUAUGUAUGAUUGAAAGAUGUCAUUCUGAAUAUUUUCUGGCUUAUCUCUAUGAAAGACAUAUAUCUUGCUAUAUUAGAAUCCUUGGUUCUAUUGGAUCUACAGCGAUGAACUUUGCCGUGCCAAUCUAUUUCUCUGAGUGAAGACGAACUGUGAAGUAACUGUUUUUGCACUUACCAAACUCAGCUAACCUGGAAAGAGACUGACUUAUUCUGACAUCAAUGAGGGACGGGGCUUUUGACGCAUUGUUUGUUUUUCCAAUGAGCAGUCGUGUUUUUAAAUCUAACCAACCCCCACUCCCACCCACACACUUGCAUCGCAUUCAAGGGUAAUUAUUCGACAAAAUAAUCAAAUGGGGAAUAACUUAGCCAUUUGAUGAUUGUACCGAUGAUUUUCUAUGUUUAUCAAAACACUAUGUGCGUCUACUUAUUUGACAAAAAUGAAAUGACUAAACCAUUUCAAACUUAUGUGAUUUUGUGCUGUUUCUUCUGUUUCUUUCAGUUCUUGAACUUUAGCUGUUUUUUGGAUGCUUUACUUCUGGUGUAGAAUUCUUGUACAUAUAGACAAGGAAGUUCAGGUCAUCCAUAUCAUAUCAUGUCACGAGAUUUUCGAGGAACCAAUUCAUCUCUUGUAGGUUCAGGAAUGGUGUCUUAGAGAAACCAGUUCAUAUAGUUUGAUUUGACUUCCUCCUCUUGAUUUUUGAAGCAUGUAAGGACUAUAAUUAGUUCUGUAUAUUUAUCUUACAACAUGUCUCACAUUAUGUUGGCAUUGCUGCAAUGAGUUAAGUUAAAUUUGGUCUUUGCAGGCAGUGAAGAAGGGAGAUACAAUUUUUAUUGGUCAAUACCUCUUUACGGGGAGUGAAACUACUUCUGUGUGGCUGGAGGUAAGGAAAUAUAAGAUAUAUGAGUUCCAUUAGGAAGUUGGUUGUAGUAUAGUUGGUUUCAGAAUCAAAAUUAAGCAUGUUAAUUUCAAAUCCUUGCCUAGUCAGAUAUGUAUUCCUUGUCACUCAGUUAGAAGUGAAAACAAGGUAAUAGCCACUUUAUUCGUUACUCUUCCAACUGUUCCAAAGAAAUCUUGUAAAAAAAAAACGCAAGAGUGGGACCAGAUUCUGAGAGAUAAGGAAUGCUGACAUUCAACUUUAAAAUUUUAAAUUAAUUGAACAUUUUAGACAUAGAUUGGGAAUUAGGUGAAGCUCUGGUAGCAGACUAAAGCUAUAACUGAAUGCUAUAAAUUUGAUACAACCUUUGGCAGUGGAACCUAUAGUCUCUCAAGGUCCACUAUUGUAUGCAUACAUGAUAUUUAUAGGGGAUCAUCAGAAGUUAUCUAUUUGAUGAGUGACCUGGGUCCUGAAAACUUUAAUGUAAAUAAAACCUCUAGGAACUCUAAAUUUGCUACCUGCAGUAUGGUCAGAUGGCCUUAUUGUAUGUCGAUUGCUUCCAUUAGAUUUAUUAUGAGCCUCCAUCCGUUCGGUUGGCAGAUGUCUCUUGAAGAUUACCCUCUGCAUUCUUUUUAUAUAAUAUUCUCAGGAAAAAGAAUGAUUCACAUGUUGUUGUAACAUUUUGUUUUACAAUGCAGGUCACUGAGGUGAAUGGUGAAGAUGUGGUUUGUCUCAUAAAGAAUUCUGCUACCUUGGCAGGGUCAUUGUAUACUUUGAAUGUCUCUCAGAUUCGUAUUGAUCUGCCUACACUUACCGAUAAAGAUAAGGAGGUUAGUUUCUUUUGAAGUCACAGUACUAGAUACUAACAUAAUUAGAUCCACCCACAACCCUGAAAAUUGAAUUGUCUGCUUCUGCAUGGAUUCAUUAACUUGUGGAUUACAAUUUGUCCUUUUAUCAUUAAGUUUAGCGUUGCAAUUCAGAAGGAAAUUCUGAACGUGGUUAUCAGAUGUGUUUAGAGUGGUGUGGGUUUGUGGAUUGUUUGGUUGGUAAGAAACACUUGGUUUUCUUCUUCUUCUUUGGGGUAGGAUUAGUUUUUAACUCUUUUUGGACAUUUUUGUCAAAGUAUUCUAGAGAGGUAACAGUCAGUAUAGUUAAUCUUGACUGAGGUUUGUGUUUUGUUUUGAGCUGUACCUUGGAGGAGAUGGACUUUGUCAAGUUUGUUUGUCAUUCUUCAUUUUCUGGAUUCAUUCCUUGAGUGUCUUCACUCAUCGUUGCUGAAUGAUGGCUUGUAUACCUUCUAAUUUUAUUGAUAGUGAAUUAGAAGGUACAUGAGGUAAUGUUGAAUUCAUUUUAGAAGGUACAUGAGGUAAUGUUGAAUUCAUUAAAAUGAAUUUGGAGGUAAUGUUUAACUCAUUAAAAUCAAUUUGGAGGAAACUGUAUAAAAAAAUCACUUUUUAUAAAAGGAGAUCUUAUUCUUACGUGAAUUGCUUAUUUAAUGUGUUUUAACAUUUUAAUAAUUUAUCAGAUCAUAAGCACUUGGGGUGUUCGUAACACCAUCGACUUCCUCUCAUUAUCAUAUACGCGUCAUGCUGAAGAUGUUCGCCAUGUAAGGACUGUUCAUGACAGGAUUUCCUGUCUGUUCUGGUGUUAUGUGAAUUAUAAUUUUUCUCCCUGUUCAUCCCUACUUUAUGAUGUGGUUCACUCGUAUUUAGGGCUUAAUUCCCUGGGUAAUAUUAUUAUGUUUCCUUAUACUUUUGAUAAUAUAAGGAGAAACUAAGUACCCUUUCCUUAUUAUUCUUUUCUUUUUGAGGAAGUAUUACUAUUCUAUUUUAAUAGGCUGUUCUUGUUAUGCAGGCCCGUGAGUUUCUUUCAAAGUUAGGCGACCUCAACCAAACUCAGAUUUUUGCAAAAAUUGAAAAUGUAGAGGUGAGUUUCUUUGAAAAGGACAAAAAACAAAAUUUACUAAUAUUAUCACUAUCAGCUUGGAUUAUGGAUAUGGUUACCACCUUGACAUGCGGGCUCCACAUUUGUGGAGAGCCCUCAGUAGUCAGUAUUUAGGCAGUAAUGGUGGUAAGGAAUAUUCUUGGCAGAAAGGAUCAUGUGUGACUGAUCAGAUUUCCAAAUGUCAUACUUGUGCUUGGAUUUGAAUUAGCUUACAGGUUCUCUUCUAUUUUUGUAGGGGUUAAAUCAUUUUGAUGAAAUUUUGCAAGAAGCUGAUGGUAUUAUCGUCUCUCGUGGAAUUCUGGGGAUAGAUCUCCCACCAGAGAAGGUACACUUUGGUAAUCAUGUUCUUUUAUGUAUUUACAUCAUCUGCACAUGGCCACAAAAGUAAUGAGUAAGUCAUUGUCAAACAGUCUUCCUGAUAUACCGUAUUGGUAUGACUUAAGUGAGAACCAUGUCUUGUAUGUGGCGUCAUCAGUUGGGUGUACCUGCACAAGUUAUAUUCUGUUAUGAUAAUUAAAUAGUGACUUAUCAAAUGUCGAUUUCCUCUGAUGGUGACCUGAAAGCUGUUUUUUGGGGGGGGAGGGGGGGGGGGGUACUUACAGUAAUGAGGAUUGGGAACCAAAUGUUUUUUUAGUGUGUGUGUUGUAUCCAAUUUCCAUGCUUCGAUGGAUGUGUAUCUAUUAUAUACUUUUAGUUGGAGGUUAUUUUUUAUAAUGAGGCUUGAAUAUUCUUGUAAAGACCCUACUUUGAUCUUCCAGGUAUUUUUAUUUCAAAAAGCUGCUGUUUACAAGUGCAACAUGGCUGGAAAGCCAGCAGUGGUGACUCGGGUUGUGGACAGUAUGACCGACAACUUAAGACCUACUCGUGCUGAAGCAACUGAUGUUGCCAACGCUGUACUGGAUGGUAAACUUCUGUCUUUUGACAUGAAAUAUGCUCCUUUCUGUUACCUUUGGCGGGUUCCACCAUCUCAUUUAUUCUUUCAUGUCCAUGUCAUUGCAUGGAUUGUUGCUCUGUUAGUGUUAGUAAAUAUCAUUAGUAUUGUAAUACUCUUGUUGCUUGAGCAUUAUUAAACAAGUAACAAGUGAAUGUUAUCAUAGGAUGUACAAGUACGACCUGUGUAAUUAUUUACCCACUUCUCAAUUCUAUUUGUGCAGGAAGUGAUGCAAUUCUUCUAGGUGCAGAGACCCUGCGCGGUUUGUACCCUGUUGAGACGAUCUCCAUUGUUGGAAAGAUUUGCUCUGAGGUAACUCCAUUUCUGUAUUGUAAUAAAGCUCUCUCUCUCUCUCUCUUCUGAAAAAGCGAGUAAUCUUUUGGCUGUUGCAUCCCUGUGUUUUCCUGAUGAUGGCGGAGCCCGAUUCAAAUUAUAAUAAAUAAGCCCAUUCAAUUACUAAAAACCACAUGAUUCAGAUUAUUUAUAUCUAUUAUGCAAUAAAUGCAUUUGGCACAUGUAUUUUAGGAUCCUUGGUUUGGAAUCUUAUAUAUCACAUGAGGCAUCAUGAAUAUAUCUGCUGCCAUUUAAGUGUUUUAUUUGAGUCUUUUCAAUGAUUCAUGUGCCAAUGGUUCUGUACAUGAGUUACUUUGUGAGCUUUGAAAGUUUACGGUGAAAGAAGUUCUUGCGAUCUUCUGACUGUGAUGCCAAAAGUUUUCUAAUUUCUCUAUUGGAGUGAUUAAAAUAUACCUUUGGUGCAGUGCCAAAGGUUGGAGUGAGCCCAUAUAUCUGUUUUCUUCAAUUCUCUUGUGAUUGUCCUACAACAGUAGAGACUUUUAUGGACGUGCACCUCCAAAGCUAGUAUUGAAGUAGCAUUGUUUUUCCAUCCUAUUAGUUUUCUCAUUUCUGAGGGUGUGUUUGCCAUAUGUUGAUGUGCAUUUUAGAAACUCCCUUUAUUCUUAUAUCGGACCAUUCCUUUAUAUUUUUUUCAUUCUUCUCUCUGAGAAUUCUUAAUAUUUCAGCUUUGGUUUUGUGGUUCUCUGAAGAUUCAGAACUGACUUAUAUUAGCACACUGAGCAUUGUUUAUGUUCUGUGGUCUUAUCGUUUCUGAUCUAGAAUUUGAUGGUUUCUAGCAUAGACGCUACCCAUUCCUAAAGCUAAGGGCUAGGAGUAUAUUUGAUGUAGAACCAAAUACCAGAAUUUAGAAUUAGAAUUUAGAAGACAAAAAAAGAUAUGUCGAGGAGAAUUUAGAAGAAGAUUACUGAGGGAAAAGAUUUGUUUAAUCAAUCAUUCAAGUCUGUCUAAUUUGAAUUACUUACAAAGCACAUAUUUAUAAUAACCUAGCCCUACGACAAUUAGGGGAGUAAUCCCAACCCUGAUAGCAACAGGAAAGAAAGAAAACAAGAAAAUAAAAUAAAACAGGAAAUAUGAUUCUGCAUCAACAUAUUCCGGUGGAAUUGUAGUACUAAUUGUAUAUAAUAUUUAUAAAUUGGAAAAUGUUCAUGGCUAUUCUGUUCACUCCCUCUCAUUUGAGCUUCAACUGUUCGAAGUGGCUAUAGAAAUAUGUGUUUUGUUAGUCCGGAUAUUAUUUCAAAACAUUGUCUCUUUCUUGAUACUUAAGAGUGAUUCAUUGGUCUUGGCUAUAGUCACACGACUCAUAUUAGAAUGUGUGAUCCUUUUGUUUUGUGGUCAGUCAGUUUUGGAGGGUGGGGGUGGGACAAUUCUUUGUUCUUAUUAUUAGGAUGUAUGUUUCGUAGCAAUGGUUUAUCAAAAAAAUAUUAUAAAUUAAAGUAAAAUGACAAGGGAAAGUUCUGAGUUCAUUUCCACAUUUAUUAAAACAGUUCCUUUAUAUCUUGUAAUAAUGGAAAUUUUCUUUUAUCAAAUUACUGUCGACAGGCGGAGAAAGUUUUCAAUCAAGAUUUGUAUUUUAAGAGGGCUGUCAAAUAUGUUGGAGAACCAAUGACCCACUUGGAAUCUAUUGCUUCCUCUGCGGUAGUUUUGUGCUUUCAGUAUUUUCCAUUUUAUUUUUUCUCCUUCUUUUUAUUAUACCAUUGGCCUGUUCCCUGAAGAGAUGCUGCUAACCGAAUCAUGCAUGAAGGAUGCCCUUUAUUUUGCUACAACAGGAAAAUAUUAUAAUAUAAUUUAUCUUUCCUAGGUACGUGCAGCCAUCAAGGUGAAGGCCUCUGUAAUUAUUUGCUUCACUACAUCUGGAAGAGCUGCAAGGUGAUUCUCUCUUAUCUCUUCUUCUCUCUUCAUGUGUAUUUAUAAAAUCAAAUUCUUAGGGCCCGUUUAAUUACCAUUUUGCUAGUUUUUAGUUCUCAUUUUUGUGUUAGAGAUAGAGGGAAAAUACAUGGGACAAAUGAGGGAUUAGAAUAGUUGAGGAAGGAUGGUGGAAGAAAUGUUGAAGGAAUGUUUAAGGAAAGGCACACAAAAUGUUGAAAAGUAAAAUUCAAAACCCAAAAACUAUUAUAAGUUGAUUUCACUUUCAAGAUUUUGUUUUAAUUUAUUCUUUAUUUCCUCCCCUUUCUUCCAACACCCUUCUUCAUCUUCCCUCCUUUUCCCCCAUAUAGAUUCCUCAUAUCUCAAGCACAAAAAGUGAAAACAAGAAACUAAAAAUGGUUAUCAAACUGGCCUUUAGGAAGUGGGUAAGGCUAAUGUUUCUUGGUUUUAUGUAAAAUUUUAGUUUCCUGAUUGAAGUUCAGUUAGAUGUACUUUAAUUGUAAAACAUAAAAAUAAGUCUUUGAUGGUUUACGAUGUUAGAUACAAAUAUUUUUGUAAUUGUUAUGUUCACUCUUGUGUAUAUACCGGUUUUGUUAUUUGGGCAUUAGUGUAGGUUGAUUGCAAAGUACAGACCAACAAUGCCUGUGCUUUCUGUUGUCAUUCCUCGGGUCAAGACAAAUCAACUCCGAUGGACAUUUUCUGGUGCUUUUGAGGUUUCUUACUGAACUGAUCAUCUUUGGUUUUAACUUUUUAUGCACUAGCAAGUUUUAUUUUCCAAGUAGGAAGCUAGAUGCUAGAAUUUGUGUGCUAAUGGUUUUAUCCAGUUGGGACAUAAUCCUGGAGCAGUUACUUUGUUGAAUGUUUUCUUUCUUCCUUUGUCCCACUCAAACAUGCAUGAAAGUAGAUCAUAUCUUGAUAUCUUGAACCUCUACAGUCUAUAUGCCGAGUGCCAAUUAAUUUUGGUUUGGAUGCUCUAACUUUAACAUAUAUCGCUUAUAAACUCAAGAUUUAAAAUUGAGAAGAAUGAUUAGCAGACAAUCAUACUAUUCUUUAUGAUUUACAUUCUCCAACUGAAUUUGAUGCUCAUAAUAUCCAUCUUUUUCUUGUGAUGAUAUCCGGCAGGCAAGGCAAUCGCUCAUUGUUAGAGGCAUUUUUCCCAUGCUAGCGGAUCCUCGACAUCCAGUAAGAUAUAUCCUGUUGAUUGCAUUGGAGAAAGCUAUGCAUAAUGCAUAUAAUAAUCACAGGGUUUCCCAGAUCUUUCCUUUCGUUAAAAUUGGUUGAUUUGGGUUUCCCGUUCACCUUGAAUGCUGCCCUAAUGAAUAUAGUUGGAAGUUUUUCGAUAUUCUAGAUAAGUAGAUCUCUGAAAAUGGUAGGAAAGGAGAAGGGGAGGCUACAUUUAGGGACCCGAGUCGGUUAUAGACGUGGAUUAACUUCAGUUCAUCACAUGAUGCGUAUUCUUUUGCAUGCUUCACUACCCAUUGUAUCAGACUGAGACGUUUCUUUUUCUUAUCUGCCCUUUCGCCCCUGCAGGCUGAAAUAACCGUUGCAACAAAUGAGUCCAUUCUUAAAAUCGCUUUGGACCAUGGCAAGGCCACUGGUGUCGUAAAAUCACAUGACCGUGUGGUCAUUUGCCAAAAAAUUGGCGAUACUUCUGUGAUCAAGAUCAUGGAGCUUGAAGAUUGAUAUAAAAAUUGCAACUUCUUUUGCGUAUAUGUUUACGAGUUUUACUGGUAAGUUCUCCAUGUCCUGUACCUUGCCCUCUUUCCCGAAAAUAAGCAAAUGUGCGUGUUAGUUGUAAGAAACCCUGGAUUGAAUUUCUGAGUUUUUGUAGUUGAAGUACCUCAAAACUUUUUAAGGGAAAUUACUGUAAAUUGUUGCUCCUCCAUCUUUCCUACCCAAACAGAGAACUAUCUCGUUGUAUUUUCUUAUAAAGAUUUUUAUUUUUAUUUUAUUUUGAAUAAACGAUGCUAUCUACGGGGGUGAGGGAGUGAGUUAAGCUUCAUAAUCGGCUAACAAUAAUGUGGUUCAAAUUCGUCUUUGGUUAGAAUCAAAUCUAAGACCUCUCACUUACAAAUGAAAAUAAAUACCACUAGAUCGUAGUACUAAAUAGUUCUUAUAAAAAUAAAAAAAAUAUUUGAAAUAACAUUUCAAUGUCAUUUCCAUUUCCUUCAUUAUGCACACCCACGGUUUAUUUUUUGUCACGCUUAAAAACUGGUUAUUACACUCGCAUCAGUUUUAAUAGUUUAUCAAGCACCAAAUUGCUUUAUUUCAUAGAUGAUUGGCAGUUUUUUUCAAAGUGAUUAUUUUUACAUUACAGAAAAAGUUCUCGAGAUCAUUUGGUGACUAAAGAAUAUAUGCUCAUUUACCUUUGGAUUUGAUAUGGUUGAUGCACAAAAUUAAAUUAAUCUUGGACCAACUUAAUUUCAACCACAAAUCACACAGGCGCAAAAAACACAAUAACAUAUCGUGGUUCACCUUGAGAUGGGAUUAUGUCCAUAGUUUCCGUUUCCACUAUGUAAGUGUAGGUUGCAUUGUAAAAGACAAGAGGUUUGUUGCCUUUGAAAGGGUAAAGUGGCUAGGGUUUGGAAGGAGAGGUUCUCUUUGAAGUGAGGGUUAGAAUUCUUUUUAUAGGAUAUGUAAGGGUAUGAUUGAUGAUUUAACAGCAAAAGCAAUAAAAAAUCCAAGGCCACCCAUCAAGAAGGGCCUCCCAUUUUAUAUUAAUUGUAUGUGUGACAUCCCACGGGAGUGGAUCAUGUAAGUCUUAUAUGUAUAUUCUCAUAUCUUCUUAGCAUGAGGCAUUUUGGGAACUUACUGGCUUCGGGUUCCAUUGAAACUCCGAAAUUAAGCGAGUUCACGAGAGAGCAAUCCCAUGAUGGGUGACUCACUAUGAAGUUCUCGUGUGAGCUCCCAGAAACAAAACCGUGAGGGUGUGGCCGGGGCCAAAGCGGAUAAUAUCGUGCUACGACGGAGUCGAGCUCGAGAUGUGAUGGGGUCCGGGCCCGGAUGUGAGCAGUAUGUAUAUAUCUAUUCGAAUUUGCAAUGAUAUGCCAAAUUCUACACAUGGCUCAAUUGUCCUCCACAUCUUAUUCAUAGUCCAUGUACCAUGAAAUUGGGUUCGACUCUACCGAGUGUCUUUUCUUUUUUGUUUUAUUUUAAUUUUUUGGGUAUUUAAAAGCAUGAGUUGUGUUUUAUUGUGUUAUUUAAAGCAUGUCGUUUAUUUUAAUUUCUUAUGUGUUUUAUUUUAAUUUUUUUGAUAUUUAAUAGAAUGGGUUGUAUUUUAUAUUUAUUUAUUUAUUGUUAUUUAAAGCAUGGUUUUUCUUGAUACAACAAUGAAAUAUGCAUCUUAACCAUCGGUGCAAAAUUUGAAAAUCAUUACAACUAGUGGAAGCUUUUAGAUGCAAAGAUUCAGCAAUGCUCACAAUUAUCAAAUCCCUACCAAACUCAUGUUCCAAGUCUUACUGCCUUAUAAGCAAAAUAGUCGACCAUGACUUAUUUAACUGCGUUUGAUACGACACUGAAAUGCCAGUUCAACAAUCAACACAACUCAAUCAUUCAAGAUCUUGGUAAAAUAUCUCAAUCCACCACUACUAUAGAGUUUAUGACUGAUAUUGUUAUCUCACCUAUUAGCCAUCACGUAGAUUUAGUCAACUUAUAUCUGUGCCAGAUUAAACUGCCCACCUAAAUCUCCAUGACAACUUUCCCUACUCAUAUUUUCCAACUAUACCAAGGGAAUCAAGACCCUGCGUAAAGCGAGAGCCUUGUGCACUGGGUAUGACCAAGGGAAUCAAGACACUUUGAGCACUGUCACGCCGAAGUGUUGCACGAUAAGCACCUUGAAAUCCCGCUUGCCGAGUCCAGCUGCAAGACUGCUUACAAGCAGCUCAUUCAUUUCCUAAUUAUCACUAUAUAUGGACAUAAAACUACCUCAAGCCACGUCUAAGCUAUAGCUUCCAAUGGUAAGCACUAGAGUAAACUAAAAAAAACACGGGGUCUCAGAACCACUGAGCUAAAAUGAUCAUUAUUCAAGUGGAGAUGACUGUGUCGUCACCAAUCUUCAAAAGAAAAUCCACGUUAAUCUUUUGAAAUCCUUUUCGGAGUCCCUCAAGAUGAAGAACACAAGCUCGAAUCAAUCCACUGCUAUGUAAAAUGAUCUCUUCACCUUGCAAUAGUAGCCCUCCUUCAAAAUGCCAUACCCAUUCACUAAGCUACAUCUGCUUAACCAGUUAAACACAUAUAAAGGCCUCUCUCUCACAAGCAGCUAGUUGUAAUCUCUAGGCCUCACCAGACCAUCGUGUCAGUAAUUACUACAAAUUUGUGUUUCGAGAAAAAACCGUGUGGACAAACAAACAACAGGAUGAUUGUAGGCAGUGUACAAACAAAACUAAAAACCCUUCAUCGGACUUCCCUUGCCCUUUCUUGGUGCAGCAAUGGAAACUUGAUAAAGGGUUGUGAAUAGAUCUGUAAACGGGUCGGGUUUAUUGGGUUUGGGUCGGGUUGAAUCCGAUCCGUUAAGUUAACGGAUCAUCCGAACUCAACCCGUUAAACUAACGGGUCACCCGUUUCAUCCGUUAUCACCUGUUAACAAUUAUUAUUAUUUUUUUUGCAUAAAGUUUAUUUUUUGUUAUCAAGACUUUACUAAAAUUACUAAAAUAUCCUCAACUAACGGGUGCUAACGGGUGUUAACGGGUCUAACAGGUUGACCCAAAGUGACCCGUUAUUUAACGGGUUGUUAACAGGUUCACCCGUUAACGACCCGACCCGUUAAGCAUCCAUCCAAAUACAAAUAUUAACAGAUUGGGUCGGAUCGGGUUAACGGGUUGGGUCCAAAAUGCCAGGCCUAGUUGUGAAUCGAUACACCCGAAAAACCCUUUUAUGAAGCUAAACUCCUACACUCAGUCCCGUUCCUAUCCAAUUUAUGUUUCUGGUAAUCAAAAAUUCAAACGACCAGCAUAAAUCAAGACGUAUCCAUUUUUUUUCUUCAUAUUAAAUUCAAGUUUCAUCACGAAAAAUUCCAAGUUCAAAUACGAGGAUGCAAGCAACCAACUCACAUGCAAUCAUGAAUGAAAACCCAGAUUUCAUAUACAACAAAUUAGUAAAAUUUCAUGUAAAAAAAUCAACAAAAUAAAAUAAACCAGGGUAAAAAAGCCAUGCCUGCCAGAGUAUAAUAGGAUUGGAAGUCUUCGUUAUGGGCUCUUCGCACUCAACCGCCACAGGCGGAGGAGCCACCACUUGCGCUUUCGGGAAGCUCAAAGACCGGCUUCGGCGUCUUACUUUCAGUUCCUUCUUCUGGUUUCCUUGGCUCCUCUGCAACAACGACGCUUGCCGCUUCUGGUUCUUGCUUCAGGAAGGGGAGUUGAAGCUUGAACUUGGGGAAGAGUGAGAACAAGUUUUUGGGUCCUUUUGGGUCGUCUUCUUUGAUUACAAUCUCUGUGUUUUCUGCCAUUUUUUGGGAGAGAAAGGGCGAUUCUGAAUGUGGGUUUGGAGUGUAAACGGCGGAGAAAACGAGCAGAGUGGCGAUGUUCAUGAGAUGUUGUAAACGCAGCUUUUAUUAUAUUUUCUCUCUUUUUCUUACUCCAGAACGUCCUCCAUCCUCGUUUAAAUUUAAAAAUUAAAAAUUAAAAGGCUAAAUUUUUUUCUUCAUCAUGCGGUGAGGCACCACUUUUAAAUCGAUUAUUGUGGAGAAAAAAGCGUUAAUCUUAACCCUGUGGUGUAAUUCGUUAUCAAUCGUAGUCCAAAUAGAAAUUUCUAUCAAAAUCUAAUCCUCGUGCAGGGGUAAAAAGGUCAUUUCAUUUUGAUAAUUCCACUUUUUUAUAAUCAACAAAAAAAUUAGAAGGGAAAAAAAAAAAAAAAAACCCUCCCCAAUCCCUACCUUUGUAAGCCACAACCACAGCGACCACCCACCACCUUCCCUCCUCUCUCUCGCAUAACCUUAUCCAUCCUGUCCACCACUGUUAUUCUUAAGAUGAAACUAAAUUCAAUGUUUGCAUAAUAACUUAUAUUCUAACCUAAACACAGUGAGGUACUUUGUGAUUUUUUAAAUCUUGAAUUUGGACACUUGGAUCACUUGAAAUGAGAAAGUCUGAUAAUAUGAACCUUGUAAUUUUAUUGUUUAUUUAUUCUUUUAUUGUCCAUAUGACAUUUUAUGAUUGGUUGAUAGAAUUAAUAAAAACGAAAAUAACAAUUUUGGCCCUACAAAUGUUAGAAGAAUAAGGAAAAAUCCAAUUUGGACUAUGAUUGAUAACGAAUUUCAUCACAUGAUUACAAUUAAUAGCUGUUUCACCACAAAUGUCUGAGGUCUAUUUAAAAGUAAGGUAUCACCACAAGGAUCACGAAAAAAAUUUGGCCAAAUUAAAAAUAUUCAUGUGGUGUUUUGAGGAAAAAAAAAAGCAACACUAUUUAUAAUAAUAAUAAUAAUAUUUUUCUUAAAUAAAUAAAAGUUUAAAACGUAUGAUUUUGAUAUUCGUCUAUGCAUCCAUUAUCUGGAUAAUCAAAUAUAGCAAUGUUAAUCCAAUUGCGUUUAUUAGUUCUUGUCUAUUACGUCCCGAAUCUAGGAUGGGUGAAAAAUCCGAAUUUGAAAGGCAAAUUAAAUUAAUAAAGAAAUUUUAUAUUUAAAACUUGCAUUCUAUACAAGGCUACAAAGAAAAUAAAAUAAAUUUGUUCACAAAAAGAAAAAAAAAAAAUAAAAUAAAAUUCUAAUAUCACAUUUAAUUUGAUUUCAAUAGAAAGCAUGUAGUUCAUAAUCACCUUCAUAGACCUCAUGACAACUCAAUAAACACCGUGAUACAACCACCACGGAGCCUAAUAGAUGUGGAACGAAAAUCACCAAAAAUUCGUCUCAUGGAAUAGCACGUUCCACCCGUUUUAGGCGCAACGACAACCUUAUUUCAUUUUUCAGUAAUUGACGCCGUAAUUAACUAAUUACUGCUCAUAAACAGGUAAGUACAGUACAGUAAGAAGCUCCGCACAUAAGAAGCUAAUGAAAAUUUCUCGCACUUUCUCAACAGAACAUUUUCCACAAGCAGUUGCAGUUGCUGUUGCUCGUCUUCUUCUUCUUCGUCGGCGGCAAAAAUGCAUUCGACUCACUUGUUUCUGGAAGAGCCGAUCAGGAUGGCUUCGAUUCUCGAGCCUUCCAAGCCUGUGAGUAAUUCCGGUCACUCUAACUCUUCCGUUUCUUUGAACUAGUAGUUAGUUAGUUAGUUAGUUAAUUUUGAUUGAGAAGAGAGAGAGCCAAUUAUUUGCUUUUGUUUCUUCAGCAAGUAACCAAGUUGUAGUGUGUUUGUUUCCCGAGAAAGUGAAGGAUUGGAUGGAAAACAAACAAGGCCUGGAUUUCCUCUUUGUACUACCUGUUUGGCUGUUUCUUAAAAUUAAUUUGUAGCAAGUAUAAAUCAGCUCUCAGUGUUUGUGGGUUUGGAUGGAAUCUGUAUUUCCUUCUUGCAUCUUAAUUCUUAUCAUGUGUUUGGUUUCUGAGAAAUUGUGAUAAUCAGGAGGGUGUCAUAUUUCUUAUCAGAGAAAUCUUUACUUAGCAAUCAAACAGGAUAUUAUUGUUUCCCAAAUAUUCUCUGAAUUUCCGUGGGUUAUUAGAUGAAUAUGUGGCCGUAGGGAUUUGACAGAACUUGAAUGCGUGACAAACUUUGAUGGAUCUAAACUUGCAGACAUUCUUUCCAGCAAUGACAAGGAUCGUGGGAACGCUUGGUCCAAAAUCACGAUCGGUUGAGACAAUCUCCGGUUGCUUGAAGGCAGGAAUGUCUGGUAUUACUCACCUGCUAUGCUUAAUUUUCAUUAUUCAUCUGUCUGAUUAUGAGUUGCCAGCUUCUUAUUUUUGCUAUCUCCCUUCAUCUAUAAUACUUUAGUAAAAGGAUAAGAAACACUGUCUGAGACUUGUGUACCUCCGUUUUGGCGGUACAAUUUCUUCACUGUGAAGAUAGUACUGUGUGAUUGUUUUGCUUCUGGUAAAUCCUUUAUCUAUUUUCCGUCUGUUCAAUUUGAAUUCCCUUUUUGAAUUUUAUAUGACGUUGAUUUAGCUAAUUGAAGUAUAUAAUUCC